UAUCUUCAGGUAACAAAAUGCUCACUUGUAUAGAACACUGAUUAUAUAACGAAGGAGGAAGAGCACUAACGGGGUAAACUGGGUUUGAAGUCGAUGGUAAGCUGAAUUGGCACCAAACUGCCAUCAUCAGAAGUUGUUGCCAACACAGCCCUUGAGUCCCCAGCAUUUGCUAUAACAAGGUGUUCGCCCUGCAGAUAACAUUGGCGAAAAAUUUUAGGCUACUUCUCGUUCACUUUAUAAAUUUACUUCUGCUUUAGGAAACUUUUUAUUUUGCGUUGAAGUCAUCUAGAAAAAUAUAAUUAAGAUAUUACGAGUGAUGAAACAUUAAAUUAGCCAAAAAGAUAAAGAGUCCCUGAAUAUGCCACAUCGAACAAUGGAAAAAAGCAAUUAACCUGUUUAAUGAUUGUUAAGGCUGUAGUACCACUGCAAAAGGCAUCGAUGUCGGGAUGCUGCUUAAGUUCCUGAUCAAUGGCAGCAUAAGUCUUCAUAUACGACUGCUUCCAAAUAUCAAACUGAUGAUCUCUAUCCAAUUCAAUUUUGAAAUCCAUGUCCAGCGAUGUCAGUGCAAGUGUUUUUUGCCAAUUACACAGCAAAGAAGAAGGAACAGAUUCUUUAACCCUUUUGGAAACAACAUGUCCCCAUGGACCAUGCCCAUCAAAAAUCCCACAAAAGAUAAUGUCCUCUUGGCAUCCAAAUUCCUACCAAAUCAAAAACAAGCCCGAAAAACUAAUAUUCAAUUAGAAAGACCAAUACAUCACUUGAUAUGGACUCUAAUUAGAUUGGGACUGAGGCUAAGUUGAGUCAAAUAAGGAGCAACCUCGAAGAGCAAAAGCAACCGGUACAUGAGCAAACUUUUUCUAACUUCUAUGAUAGUCAGCCUAUAAAUAUUUAAAGUGAAUUGACAUACCUCCCACACAAUCAAGCUAUCUUGAUUGAUUCCUUUCUGCCCUCUCUUGGAGCAGACGGAGGCAAAAUUAUUUGAUCUGUUGGACUUGACAAUGCCUGAGGAACUCAAUAUCAACUCGCUCUUCCUUGCAUCCUUUGCCAAAGCUUCUGCAGCUUCCUUUCCAACAUCUUUUUGGGAGUUCUUCCCUUUCUUGAUUGAUACUGACCUCGCUAAUCCAUCAAAAAGAGACGGAAAAAGCACCAUUGCUUUCGCUACCUAAAAACAAUAAACAAAUUAAUAAAGCUGAUUUACAUCUAUUAAUAUUUCAAACUUGAAAUAAUCUCAUUGAUUUUCAGUAAAAUCAUAAAAACAAACAUACGAAGUGCAUAUUCACUUUCUCCUAGAGCUAAUUUAGAAUUGGCUUCAUUAAUCAAGAAAUUCAUAAGAACAAACAUACAGAACGUCCUUCGUUAUCUAUAUUAUGAAAUUCAGAAAUUCAGGAUUCAAAAUAUAAUUGUUUUCACGUGACUGCUUUCACUGAGUUAACACUCUAAAAGGUUUCAAACUCUCUUCUUUUGUAUUCGGCUCUGAAAGUUUUUCAACCAAGCUAAAUCCAGCGCAUGAAAUCACCACCGACUGAAAAAUUUUUCAACAUAAGGGAAAAAAAAAAGUUUACUUCCAAGAGAAGCAAAAUCAAAGUUUGCUGGCUACAUAUGAUCGAUCAUAUCCCAAAGUCAAUAAAAGAAAAGGAAGCAUAGAAAACCUUGUCCUUAAGCGACUUGGUCCACAAAAAGACCGAUUAACUUCGCCGGAGCAUCCGAGAUAUUACGUCACGACGGCAAGCAAAUCUGUCGCUUGGAUAUUCAAAGGCUUCUUCUCGUCGCUUGUACUCCAUUUCCUGUCAUCUUUCCAGCUUUUCAAGUUCUUAAGUACGUGAGUAAUUAAUGUAUGGCUUUACAGUAAGUUUGGAUAGAGUAAAUGACUAUUAUGCCAUUUAUAGGCUGUCUUAGUAUGUGAAUGGGUUGUGUACAUUUUAGACAUUUGACUAGGCCACUACACGGUUAAAAAUCCGUCUCUUUGGUCAGAGUAGAGUGCUCUCGCACCACAUACACUGAUACACUAUCUAUCCAUCUCUCUCUCUCUCUCUCUCUCUAUAUAUAUAUAUAUAUAUAUAUAUUGAAUUCAUUGUUUAUAUUUAAAAAAGAAUUAUAUACUUAUAAAUAUAAAAUAUAUUAUUUUUAAUACACUUGAAAUAUUUUAUAAUUUUUCUUGCAUCACAGCCGUGUUUAGUUUAGGAUACAAGAUUAGUACAAGGUAAUGUUAUUAUUGUUGUUAUUAUUAUGAUCUACAUAAAAGUGGGUCAAAAUCUAAGGAACUGAUUUGCUUGACAAGUGGCUGUGCAGUUUACGUCAUCAUUAGCAUUAUAUUUUUUAAAGUUUAGUACAAAUAAAUUUAAAAAGAUAUUAUUAGCAACAACAAUGAAAUUGCAGAUAUAAUAAAUAAUAAAUAAAUAAAUAAAAAGUCGGUGAAGAGCAUAUAUAAAAUAGGCAUAUGAUAGGGAAAGAUCGGUUCAUAGCGAUUACAAUAAGAUAUUUGCUUGGUUGUAAGAGAACUACAAUAAAAUUAUAUAUCUUGAAGAGCUGUCGAUUGCAACAUGAUUAAAAUAAAUGUAUGAUUACGAAAAGAUGUUGAACUAAAAACAGCUCACGAUGAUCCCAACCAAACACAUGGGCUGAAUUUUAAGGAGUCAAUUUGGGGGACCAUGGAAUUAGGGAUUAGGAUGUGAAACAUUUUAAAGAUGAUUAUGACCCCAUGAUUGCGAUCAACAUUAUAGGCCUAUAUCCAUAAACAGCAGAAUAUUUGUACCUUGAUGGACAUGAACUGUCGUGUCUGGGGCCAUAAAACACAUGGACAAGUAGCUACUCUUUAAGCAUGGAACUUAAAGCAUCAAUGAUAAGAGACCCUUGAUUUAACACACACCAUUCACACGCAUCCAUGUAGAAAUUUUAAUUAUACGAUGAAAGAGUCAUCCGAUCUCAUAAUCUAUUAAACGAUUGGAUGCUUGUGAAGCAACUAUUAGCAAAGAAGGUAUAUUGUGAAUUUGGUACAACAGUGCUCAUUUUACAUUUCGCUUCUUUUCCAUUUUCUUUUUCCUCUUUCUAGUAUUAUUUGCAAAGAGAAAAAAGAAAAGAAAUUCAGCAAAUCAAUCAUUACCUUGCAAUUGCUCACCACCAGAAGGUAAAACGCUCAUUCAAACGGCAUUUACCUCCAGGAUGAAAAACACUUUACGCUGCAGAUAAAUAAUUAAAAUGACCUACACCUAUUGAGUGAUUAAUAAAAAACUUGGGAAGCAUAAUAUUCGCUCUCAUUAAACACAGGUCUUAAAUCUUCCUUGCACAUGAAAUCCAAAGGGUAAGAAACAAGAUGUCCACGGAUUGCCUGCAAUCUCCCCAUAGGAUCAGUUUGCUUCAUGUCUCCAUUUUGGUACGAUUCAAGCUUUUCUGGGGCCAUUCCCAAAUCAAUGGUAGUGUGGCCAAGUCUAUCCUUCCAGAAGGCCAUGCUUUGUCUAAGUGCAGCUCUGUGAGUAUGUGAAUAGUUACAACACACUAAAUUGAUUGAAAAACAUUAGGGCGAAAAGGGGGGAAAUGCUAUAUAGAGGGAAUCCAUACCUGGAAUGUAUGAGAUCACUGGGAAUGCAAGAAAAGACAUCCUGGUAGAUGGUGGUAUUUGUCUGUCGAUUGAAUCACCAGUAAAUGAUUGUUAAUUUGAGACCAAAUUCAAUACAAAUGCAAUUCACCAAAUUAGUACUUGAUCUGGGGUUCAGACAAGAAGGAGUUUUUUAUGUGGCAAGGUAGGUAGAUCUACCAUAUAAUUCUGGUCAAACUGUGACCAGAUUAGCCACAGUGGGUCAGCCAGAUGCAACCGGGCUCUGGGCCUCUUAAAGUUAAGAAAGCUCAGCCAAAUUGUUCUUCAGAAUUUUAAAUCUUCAAAGCAUUGUUCUUCUAUACGUAAAAUGAGAACAAAAUUAUUUCCCCCCUCUUUCUAGCCACAGAAAGCCAUAAUANNNNNNNNNNNNNACACAAAAAAAAAAACUCUCUCCACUAAGUUCACUUUUGAAGCAAACUUCUAUUUACAAAAAUUUUGGGCUUCAAAUAAAUUACGAUUCUUUCUGCUUCUCACCUUUGCAGUCGCGACCCACAGGUCUUUGUAAGUUGAAUCAACUACUGGGUCUAUUAUUUGAUUCAUCUGAGAUGAUAAGGAAAAAGAAAAGAAGAGGGACUACAUUAUCAGCAAAACUGCACAGGCUACUGCAAUACUAUAAUUUACCCACAUUAAAAUUUUUUUCAUUUGCUUAGCUGUAGAUAUUUCUAUAGUUAGGUAUACUGACCUCUUUGGCAUGAAGACCAAGGUGUUCAGACCACAAAGAAAGGCGAAGACUUGAAGAAAAUUUUCCAGCUUUCCAAGGCUUCCCUCCCAUUGAGGAUUCAACAAACUCUUUGUCUUCAAUGAGCACACCGAUCUAGAAAAACAGAUUUUGCAAUAACUCAGAAGCUGCUCCACAAGUCUUAAAAGACUAUUCAUUAGAGACAAAGUGAAACUUACAAAAGCCUAUAUGUUACACAGGGAUCAGAGAAAAGUGGGUGGCAAGAAAAACAAUAUUGCCAUAUGUAAAUUUCCAGUGGAAAAAAGAAUGUCAUCAGUUAAUGAAUGCCAUGUGCAAACCAAAAUGGUAGCAACCCAAAAUAAUAAUCAAGACCCUGGAAAAGAUGUUUUUGGUUCAUAGAAUCCUCGUAAUUUUAUUGAUAGUAAGAAUGUUAAUAUUGUCUAAGACGGUUCCUUGAAGAGAGUAAAUUUGCACAAUGUCAAUUUCAAUGUCCUCAAGGUUCAGUAGAAACUUGUGAAAUAUAAGCUCUGAAAUUGCCAUAUGUUGUAAGCAAAUUUAGACUAUGAUCAAAAUUUCUUAACCAGUUGUUUCAAAAGGACCAUGAAAUAAGUGAUACCUCUGAAUCUCGCGAACCAAGUAAACUCCUGUCGUUGAUAUUAGCAGAUCCAAUCAAAGUUGCAGAGUCAUCAACUAUCAUGAUUUUACUAUGCACAUACACCUGCAUAUUUGAAUAACAAUAUGAUUUGACAGGGACUAUGGGAACUUACUGAUUAGUGAACCUUAGUACAGAACAUGACUAAGGUGUCCUAAAUUUGAGCCAUGAUGCAGAAAAACAGCAUUUGCCAAUGAACGAGGAAUCAUAAUAACUUAUUUUCUAAAAUGAUGAAUGCCUACAAGCAAAUACCUGACUGGUGGCCACUGGACCACCAUCAAAAAGUCGGCCAUAAGCUCUAAGACCGUAAAAGGAAAUGUAAUCAUGUGUUUUUGGACCAAGAACAUCGUAAAGAUUAUGCAAUAUUGAAUUUUGUCCUCUGCAAAUGGUUCGAUAUUGCCAAUGCAUUAUGGCUCUCAAAGAUGCAGCACCACUAUCAUCCAAACCCCCCUGUAAAACUAAUCAGUAAGCAAAAAAAAUUACAUGCCCAAAAUUUAAAUUAAGAGGAAGUAAUCAAGAAUUUGAACCUGGAAACCAGGAAUAAGAGGUAUGACAACAAUAACCCUGAAACACUUCUUCUCAUUGUAUGCUCGCUUUAUACGAUGGUAUAAUGAUUCUAAUACACGAUUCCGUAUAGUGUCAUCUGCUGAAAGACCUGAUAUAAAAAAUUGAUUCUACACAGCCCAAAAGCAUAAGCAGAAGUCAGAAAAAAGGAAGAGAAAAAUAGAAAAUAUGCCAAGCCUCUGUGACCUCAAACCCUAAAACACUCCAAUGAGGAAAACUUAAAACCAACAGAAAUGUGUGAGAGUGUCCAUGUUGUGCAAGAUUAGUGUUUAAAGUUACAAUUACAUCCAAAGAUUAUACCUCAAUAUAUAUAAAAUGCUCUGCUUUUUCAAUGAGAGAGCAAUAAGCAUGGUGAAUACUCUCCUCAAUUUGACUUGUUCCAGCAGACCACUGGCUCACACUCCUUAUCACCUGAAAAAUGAGGUGACCAUUGAAUGCAGCACACAGACUAAAUUUUAUAGAUAAACAAAAUGAGUGUUGACUAGCUCCAUAACAGUAAAUGAAAAAUUAAUUAUACCCUGGUCUGGCAAGGUGAAUACCCACCCCGCAUGCAGCACACACAUGUCAAUUUUUCACCUAUUAUUUCAUUUUAAGGAUUUUGGAGGGGCAAAAACUAAUAUUCUAGUUUCGCCCCUGCAAAAAAUAUUUAGCACAAAUUAAGUUGGAUAAGGUCCCAUAAGAGGAGUAAACUAUUGGUCCCAGCCAGGGUGUUGAGACCAUCAGAUAUCUCCUUAGCAGUUGAUUUUUAAUAUUAGACCAUGAUAAAAAAAUCCACCUGACAACAGCAUGAGGUACGUGGACCAACUUGACCAGUUUCAUCUCCAAAACCAAUCUGAUCUCCCCGCUCUUGAGUUUCCCACCACUCCAAAUCUGAAGCUUUGGUGCCAGUCUGUGGCAGUAGAUCUGAUGACAUCUUCUCAUGAAGAUCCAUAACACCAUGGUCAUCCACAAAGCCUUUCAUUGGCAUAUCUGGAACAACAGGUUCAACUUUGGAUUUCCGAAAUCCAAGAGAGAGACUUCUGCCAGGAGUGGAGUCACACCUAUUUAAUUUUGGGCCUCCACCUGAAACAUCUGGCCCUUCAGCUUCUUGAGGUAAAAGUAGAGGGAUAUCUUGUAAAGAUGAUCUAGACGAAAAAGAAUCCUGCCUUUUAAUUCCUUCACCAUUAUCUUCAACGCUCUUAAUUUCAACCUCCAACUCUUUGCUGUUUCCCCUAUAGUGUGGAAUAACCAUAUGCUGCUGAGGCAUAAGUAGUGGAAUUGCUUCCUCAUAAGGAGCUUUAUUUCUCUGGAAAAAUGCAAAUUCUAAUAUUACAAGAUUGCCACAAAUGAUAAUACUGAUCUGAGGUAUUAAUUGACCUUUGCAUAGUUCCAACGCUGAACAAAAUGUCUAGCUACAUCGCGACACGGUGGUCCCCAUAGUGCACAGUGGAUGUCAUGCCAAGGCAUUCGAGGAUAUUUUCCACGAUCCAGUUCAUCUUUCAUCGUAUCCUCCCAUGAAUUAGGUUCAGAUUCCCUGACAUGUAAAAAUUGGAAGUUCAUUUUACUUAUAAUAUGCAAGCAUACUCCUUAUCAAUUAUGCAGCUCAUUGAUUAGAAUCAUUGACACCUUAGAGAAUUUUCAGACUCCCAAGUCCCAACCUCCCUGCACAUAAGUUUUUUAGUGCCUCGGUAAUAUUGGACUAGUAGGUCAUAUUCUCUCACUAUCAAGGCAAAAAUAAAAUAUGCUAAAAGCUCAAAACACCAUGAAUUUAUAUCUCUUUGAUUGAGUAUGAUCCUUCAAAUGCUCAUGUUCAGAUAUUUCAUAUAUUAAUCUUGAAUAAUUUUCAUAGCACAUCUUCAAAGAUGAUGUGUGAAUUGAAGAACAAGAACAACAAUCAACAGCAAUAGAUAUAGGAUAAGAUCAAAAGUAUCGUAGCAGAUCACUCGAAUUUGUUAUCCACAACAUUGACAAAUGUUCAUUCAAUAUUCUUCCAGAAAAAAUUAACCUACCUUGGAUUAUAAUAAUCCUUCCCAGGCCAGACAAGAGGAGGGCAGUCACCCACUCUAUGUUCACAUGUGUCAUAACGGCCAAAGCACAAAUCCAGUCCUCCAAUAAAGCAAAUCUGAUAAUCAACAAUGACAAGUUUUUCAUGGUGGGACCUAUAAGUAACCAAACUGUAUAUCAGAAACUGAAGAAAUCUACUCUACUAAAGAAAAUAGCUAACAAGUUGGUGGUUACUAAAGACUGUUAAAAUUUCCAACAGUGCAUACCAGAGGUAAACACCACUAGAGAAGUGGUCAGGAUAACGCAAAACUCUCACAUUCUCAUGGAUGCUAAGAAGCUUUCUCUUGCUAUAUACACUGUUGAUUUUCAAAGCAAGAGCCACCUCCUUAUAUAGAAGAAUGUAUAUCUGCAGUAAUGAGAUUUACAUUAAACUAAUGUAAAUCACUGAAAUCCAAACAGAACCAGAAAUGGGACCCUAACAAUCUAUAUGAAAGAGUCGAUGAAGUUCGUAGUAGCACAAAGUGCUGAAAAAUCUUUUCUACCAUUCCUCCCAAAGGUCAACUCUAUUUUGCCAUCAAUAGAUUAUGAGUAAAGGAUUCAUGUCCAUACAAAGGAUUCACAACCCAUUAUCUCAAUAUAAAUGCUUAAUCAAAUUACUGACCAGUUUUCUCAUACAAUACAUAAAAAUAAAUGAGCUAUUUUUUAAACAAUUGCAGCAGAAACAAUGUUAAAAUAGUAAAGAAAAUAGCAAGUACCUGAACUCCUUGCUUUGCCUUGGCUUCCAGCAAAGAAUCAAGCCUAGAGGAUGCAUGCGCAUGAAAAGGACGUCGUAAAUAAAGUUCUGGGCACAACCACCAGCCACAAAUAAAUAUCUGCAAAAAAUUUUAAAAACCAUUAAGCAUCACGAUAACUAUUGCCUAGCACACCUGAAUUAUAUGUGAUUGAGCUGGAAAAGACAGACCUCUGAUUUAGCAUCCUCGAUUGAUGAAGCAAUAGCACUGAAUGCUGCCCUACCAUCUACAAACCAUUGAGCCUGACUACCAUCUUCAGUCAAACCCCUAGGAGGAGCAAAGGAGCAAAAGCGAUGAGGAUGACACCAACCUUCAGGAGGCCUAAGUCCAGCAUCAUUAAUUGCAGCAACCCAAUCUUUAACUCUACUACCAGUCUUUGUUCGUAAAUUUAUGCUCCGAUUACCACAUGUGACCUUCAAAGCUUAAAAUAAUCUGUUAGCAAGUGCCACAAUCUGAAUUGUAUAGAUAGACAAUCACUCAAAAAAAUUAAUGUGUUCAGUGGAAAAGGUAAUAAUAAGAUACAUCACUAACUAGAAAAAUUUACACAGGUAUGGUACUCUGUGCAUUAUUUUCUCUAUUGGAAGGUCAUAUAAGCCCUAAACCAAUUGUUUCAGAAAAGAACUGAAAAAAUCAGAGAAGGUUGAAAAGAAGUGAAUCGAUAUCUAAUUAAGUGAAUGGAUUUCAAGAAGUCAGUUCCAUGGCAAGAAAGUAAGUCUAUGAGUGUCAAUUAUCUUGUGAGUAAAAUCUUGUUAUAUACUUCCAAAAUUACUCAUAUCUUGAAUAAACAAGAGAACCAAAAACUUCCUUCUCAACCAUUUUAUAUGUGGUCUCUCCCAUAGCAAGAAAGUCUCAAUCUAUGAAUAUCACCUAUAUAAUUAGUCAAACAUUAACAAAUAGCAAGAAAGCAUGGCAUCAGCAAAUAGAUUGGUAACUUCAGCUCCCACAUAUCAAAAAUCUCUUCAGUUCAACAAAACCAGCAGAUGCUUAAACCAGGAUACACCCAUAUCAGCAGAGCACUAGGAAUACAUUGUCAUUAAAAUUUUAAGAUGAAGGCCAAAAAGAAAGUUUAAAUGAAUCCUUGAAUGGCAGUACAACAUAGAGAAAUUAUCUACCAGGGAAAGCAGGUGCUCCUUACCUUAAAUGCAUGACGUAAAGGAUUGCGUUCCUUUGUUUCUCCUGCUAAUGCUAUUCGACCAUCAGUACUACCAUCUGAAGCUGGUAGUACAUCAAAAACAAUUAUAUCCAGAGGUUUGGUAUCAAAAGGAUCGGCCAGCAAGGCCAAGAAUCCAGGUUUCAAUACAGCCCACACCUGCACAAAAUCAUAAGACCAGGAAACUAGCAUGAUUUCUCUUAUCAGAGAAUCUAUAGAAAGCAUAGCAGUCUAAUUCUUCGUCAUAUAUGAGCCUCCCCAAUCACUUUGCUUUCAUGACCGAAAUUAUUCAUAACUAAACUUCUACAGAGAAAUCCAUAGAUUAUUCUGGACUAGCUCUUUUAUGUCUUACCCAAUAGGAGAUUUACUUUUCCUAAAAAUAUCAGCCUAAGUUGUACCUGUUAAAUUUGGGCCAGACCUAACUCACCCCAAAAGCUAGCUAGUGCCUAUGGCCCAUAUAAGGGGCACAUUACCCCUUUACACAACCGAUGUGGGAUUCAACACACCCCCUCACACCUAGAAUUUUUACUCGUGCGUGGCACAUUUAUGGGGCGCCCAACAUCGGAUGGGGAGGCUCUGAUACCAUGUUAAAUUUGGGCCAGGCCUAACUCACCCCAAAAGCUAGCUCAAGGGGGAGGAGUGCCUAUGGCCCAUAUAAGGGGCACAUUACCCAUUUCCACAACCGACGUGGGAUUCAACAGUACCUAUUAAAACUGUGUUUUAAAUAGAUGUAUAAAGAAGAAAUGUUUUUAAAUAAUCUUUAUUAUAUUUUUAAAUGCAAUUAUACAAAUUAUAACAGUAGGACCAAAGGUAACCACCUAAAUUAUAAAAGGAGAAGGUAUUGGAGAAAUCCUCAUGUAGACAUGUGCAUCUAAAUUACACUUUAAUGCAAGAGCUUUGUGUACAUAUUCCUAGAAGAAUAUUCCACAAUAAUUAUUCAGAUUUUUUCAAAAACUGAAAAGUAAUGAUUCAGCACCACAUAUCAGGCUUACAAGGUUGCAAUACCUUCUGCCAGUUGUCAUUGCAACAACUAAACCAGUGACAAGCACAACAUUUCCUAGAAUCGUCAUUCCUUGGAAUUUUUGGCAAGUGCUUUGCCAUAACAUAGUCUUCUUUCAGCUUAGGACCAUAUUCCGGAGAGAAGGACAAUUUAGAUACCUCCAAGAAUUUGCAAACCUACUUUCCAAUUUUUAAGGACAUAUAUCAAAAACAACAUGGUUAGGGAGAAAAAUAGGGAAAAAGUCCAAACGCCUAGCAAUCAGCUAUCACAAAGCAUUAAAAAUUCAGAAUAUGAAGGUACAAUUACUGAUUUAACAAUCAAUCAUUUUGAAUUAUCUGCAUGCAACUUUGCAUAAUUUAUCAUCACAUGACACAGGUGGAGAUAAUAUCUAUCUAAACACAAACAGCAAUCAGAGCCUUCCCUUCCAGAACGUUUAUAGAGCUAAACUGAGCAGCAGCUAACAAGUUAAGAGAUGCAACAGUGAGAAAACUGGAGCGAAAAGGCAUGCUUAAAAAAAAUUUUAAUGGCUGAACUUCACAGAAUCAUCAAUAACAUGGAAUCAAGUAAAUAUGACAUCAAAUUUGCAGUUUAAAUUGACUGUGGUUCAAUAAAAUAUAAGUGAAUCAUAUUAAGCAAAAAAAUAAAUAUAAAAGGAAAAAUAAUGAGCAAAUCUGAUAGAGUUAGGAACUUAAUCAAUGGCUGCAAGAGACAGAAAUGGAGAAAUAUUUGUAUUGAGCCUUCUAUUAAUCAAGAACUCAAUUCCAGGAGUACCUCUCGACUAACAAUGUUAGCCCAGCCUAAGCAGAAAGAAGAAGAAAAUACAUACCCCCUCUCUCCUCACACUAUACUUAUUUAUACACACCCUCACCAGCUGUCCUCCUGUCCUUGUAUCCUAGAUUCCUGGUAACUCUGAUUUCUAAUAUUCUGCCAAGUGUCCUUCUUCAUCAAAUUCCCCAGCCCUUGCCUUGUCGUUUCUGAAUCGUUUCCUGUAAUAGACCCUUAGCGGAAUGGCUCUUGGGUUUGGGUUUAAAUUAACAAUGUUAGCCCAGCCUAAGCAGAAAGAAGAUGAAAAUACAUACCCCCUCUCUCCUCACACUAUACUUAUUUAUACACACCCUCACCAGCUGUCCUCCUGUCCUUGUAUCCUAGAUUCCUGGUAACUGAUUUCUAAUAUUCUGCCAAGUGUCCUUCUUCAUCAAAUUCCCCAGCCCUUGCCUUGUCAUUUCUGAAUCGUUUCCUGUAAUAGACCCUUAGCGGAAUGGCUCUUGGGUUUGGGUUUAAAUUCUGAUCUCUAACAAAAUCUAGAUGCUGAGGCAAGUUUGAGCAAGAUGGCAUUAAAGUUAAAGCAGCACAAUGGCUUCUAAAUUAACACUUCUGUUAGGCUACAGAUAUGGAAACCAGUGUACACUUCUGUUAGGCUAUAUUAUCUAAUGUCAUUUCACCCACUUAAAGAUGUGGCCACAAAUGUAUUGUCCAAAAUUACUUAAUACAUAAUUUUUAUCACCAAUUUGCAUUCAUAGAACACUUGGAGAAAAGAAAAAGAAAAAGGAAAAAAAAAAGAUGAGCAUUGCAAACUUGAAAAAUAAAGAGUCUAAGCAUUGAGCAUACCUCUCGGGAGUUGACAAUAUCCAAAUUUCCUAGAAAGUGAUUCAAAUAUUCUUGCAUUGCAACCUUUGCUCUGGCUGACAUGGAAUGCUGUCUCCCCAAGGCUGGACGAAUAACUGGCAAGGCAGCACUUGAUGGAACGUCUCUGAACAAAAAACCACCCCUAAGAACUAUAAAAAUUACAAGUUUAUCACAAAGAAUGACAAAUUGAUGUUUGUGUCCUCCUUAACAUGUAAGAGUACUACCUGUUUUUAGCACUUUCAUCGUUAUGCAAGGGAAUAGUCUCGUCAUCAGGAUCAUCAUCAUCUUGCACAACUGGCGCAUGAUCUCCUAUUCCUAGAUUUUGAAGCCAUUCUUUAACCUUUAAUAUAAUGUUCCAAUAAAAGCAUAUCAAAACCAGACACCUUUCAAACAAAUGUAAUUGAUAAUAUAAAAAGAUAAAAUUCAAUUAUGUGAAACCCAAGACAUGAAAAGCAGAUGGACGUCAUUUUGCACACACCUGCUCUUGCUUCUCAUGAAUUUCUUCAAAAAAAGCCCGUCUCUUUAAUGCAAAGUGUAAAUAGAAUACUUGUGCUGCUUUCUUCAAUAACUGCCACUUGAACUGGUCAGGAAAAAAUGCAACGGAUUAACAAUUUUCUUUUAAAAAAAAGAAUGCCACGAAUUCUCACCUUACGAAUUUUAGAAGCACUUGAGAAAAUUUUAACACGUAUGAUCAAUUCAUACAAUGAAGUUCAUAUAGACAAAUAGAUAAUAGCAAACAUAGUUGAUCGGGGGGGAAAAAACAAAAGAAAAACAGAGAGAAAGGAAAUGACACUUCACAGAGAAGGCAAUGAUGACGCAAUUAUGGACGCAGCUUAAAACCAAAUAAACUUGAUCAAUUGUAUUGUUUUUAGAAAGAAAAUCCUAUUGAAUAGACUGAAACUGAUCACAAUCGUCUAGAAUCAUCGAAAUCUCAUUUUCAAUUCACUUCCAAAAAAUAAUACAAUAUAUUCAUUAAUAGGGAAGAAAAUGAGAUUAAAGAGAUGAAUUCUUGCCUGCUUGUAUUGAACCUCGAUGGUAUAAGAUAAAAGCACUGGGCUAAUAUCGCCUGCAUCAGGUCUAGACACAGAGACGAUGGUGGCCGUCGGUAAUUCGUCGAAAAUCCGAGUGGCCUCCGGGGGAACGCCCUGCGUGAAAGAGAAGAAUGACGACAACAUGGACUGGUGAUGCUGUUGCUGAUGAUGCUGCGGCGUCGACGGUUCUGAUUGCAUUUGGACGUAUCGAGGACCACCACUAGUCCCGCCGAUAAACUGAUCCGACGAAGCCAUUCGAUAAGGAAUAUAUGAUAGGAUUCAGUAGUCUCGUUAAAUCCAAUGGAGAGAAGGAGAAGAUUGAAGUGGUUUUGGAUGGAUUUAAUUAAUUCGGAUCUAAGAAGAUGGAAACUAAACAAUCGUCAAAUCUGUAAAGUUUGAGAAGGAAAGAAGGUAGUUUGGCUUCAACUGGAAGUGGGAGUUUUACAAGCAACACAGGCGACGUCAACUGUGGUUGCUUUGAAAUUGCCGUUUUAGAUGUGGAUUAUGGAUUGUCCGAUUUUUCAAGGAAACGGAUCUGUUUUUUCUUUCAUUGAUUAGUGCGUGAGAGUGCGGUCGGAUAUAAAAAUUUGCUUUAAUCUUCAAUCUGACCGGAGAUAUAUGUAAUAAUAUGUUACAAUAUUGGUGAUUCAUACUAAAGUUUGAUUUAGGCCGACUCUCAACCAACUACCAUUCAAUUUUAACACCAUUAUCCUGUUAAAGCCAACUACAAAUAAAAAUGAACAUUAGCAUAACCAAUGGAUUAAUCCCAUAUAUAUGUACACCGCAUAGUUAAUAGAAAAAGAAAGCCUUUACUAGCAUACCACAUGCAAGAAUCGCAACCAGAUUACCAAUGAGAACAAGUAUGCAAAAUUGAUAACCCAUUUGUGGCCGAGUUUUAAAACAUUUUGGAAAACAUCAUUUGCUGAUAGAAUAACAAUUUACUUGAUUAAAACAUAAUAGAUUUUAAUUUUUUUAAUGCCUUAAAAUAUUAGUUGCGGAAGCAAUACCAUAAAAUUUCAUUAAGCCAAUAAAGCGCCGGCAGGCAGCAAGAACAUGCCACCUUUUUAUUUUUCCUGCACCUGCUAGAUUGAACACACAGGUUGAUAUAAAAUUUAACCCUUAAUAACUUUGAUAGCUAGAGUUACUACUACUUGGGCCUUAUUUGGUUAGAGUAACUUAGAUUACUACUACUUAGUCCUUAUUUAGUUGAAUGAAAUAACUCAUUUAAAAAAUUUAAAAUUUCUAUAAAAUAUGAAAAUUAUUUUUAUUUAGUUAACAUUUUUUCUUUUAACUUUUUAAAAAAUUAAAUUACAUACUUCUUGAAAAGUUAAAAAUUAACUUUCAAGGACGUACAGCGUGCUGCCAUCACCAAGGCCACAUCAGCUCCCAUUGAUGGAAGCUGAGACGGAGUAGGUGGCACUAUAAAUACGCUCUAGAAAAAAUGGCAACAUCCAACAAUCUGAAUUAAAAACAUCGACCUAGUAGAUCAACUUCAAAGUGAUAGUCAUACAAUCAAAGCACCCAACCAGGCAUAUGCAAAAGAAAAAUUUCCGGGCCUUUGGUCAUUCCAAGUCCAUCACCCCUAAAAAUACAGGAGGCCUUUUUUUCAUCCCUGAUGCCACUGGAUUUUCUAAAUAAAGUUCCACUUGUGUUCACCAAAAGAGAAAACAAAGUUAAUCUCCUCGUGUCCCAAUUGUCAGUUCCAUAAUGUUUGGUAAACUAAUUUAUCAAAGGAAAAAACAGAUUCAACAUAUAUGCAAAGGAACUACAUCUAGUGGAAUUCUACACUUCGAAUAAAUUGAAGGUUUCCCUAAAACAAAAACAUAAUAGCUUUAGGAAACAAGCUCCUAUGCCAGAUAUCAGUACGAGCAACUCAGCUAUCAACCUCCAGCAUUCAACAGAGUCCAAUCACUUCUUAGGUUUCUUCGAUCCCCUGGAAAACCAGAAAAUAUAAAUUUUGUACAUUACAAAAUGGCAAAUACAACAAAGUCGCUAGGCGGCUUACUCAGCCUGCUGAGGGGCAGGUGCUUGUGGUGCUUUCGCUCCAGGUCCCUGUGAUACAAGAGAAAAAAUUACAAUCCACAAGUAGGCACAAAAGAAUAUCAUGUUUGCAAUGAUUAAACGACAUUUUUCAAAGAUAAACUGCACCAAAAUUAGCAUUAAAAAUUUUUAUCCAACCUGUGCCAAACGCUCCUCUCUUCUAGCAAUUUUUCUCUCCCUGCUUGCCUUAUUCUUAGCACGCUUAGCCUCAAACUGGUCAGACAGAGUCUUCUCUCUUGCCUUUUCAGCCUUCGAUUUAUGGAUACUUUCCAUCAGAACUCGUUUGUUCUUGAAAACAUUACCUUUCACCUUCAUGUACAUGUCAUGAUACAUGUGUUUGUCAAUUUUUUUUGAUUCCCGGUAUUUGCGCAGCAGGCGCCUCAGAACACGCAUUCUCCUCAUCCAGAGGAUCUUAGUUGGUAGCCUAGCUUCUCUAGUACCCUUGCGCUUACCUGAAAACAUAAAGAAGUGUAUCAUAAUUCUUAUCACUACCACGAGGAAGUACUGCAACCCAUGAUUCGUGCAAGACAUCUAUAUUCAAGUGUAUGUUGGUCGUCGUUUUGAUAUGGGCAUGAAAUUACAUCCAACUGAACCGACUCACACAUUUCAAUAUGAAGCCAUACCAUAUCCAGAGUGACGACCCUUUCUCUUGGCCUCCUUCAUUCUCCGAGCACGAGAACGUGAGUGAAUCUUUGUUGGUUUCCUGAUGAUGAAACCAUCCUUCACUAGCUUUCUGAUGUUCUGCCCUGAAAUCAGUAACCAUGACAAACAAUUACAGAAUCAUGGAAAAGAAAAAUAAAUAAAUCUAAAAACAACUUGCAAUAUUAGCCUUCAAAAGAUAAAAAUCAUUCAAAAGACCAGAUGUUAGAAAAAAAAAUCUCAUAAAAGUUGAGCAUAUGAAAAGAGCCAUAGAAUAGAAUAAAUCUAAACAGUAAGACACAUAUGCCCGAUCUUGCUGUGUGAGAAACAAACUGGACUCAAUUAAUGAAACAUUUACAAUGGUUAUACAUGUCAGUCUUCUAAAUGCUGCAUCCUGGGUUAUAGAGUGAGAGAGAAUUAUUUCAGAUAGUAAAGUAAAAAAAAGAUAAAUCAGAGACAUACUUCCCCAUAAUUUUCUACUUCCUUCAAAUAUUCAGGCCUUUUAACUUAUACAAAGCCCUCCUAGAGGUCACAUCUCAAUAAUGCGUGCCUCAUACUAUGCCAGGUGAAUGUCCGGAUAGGACCCAGAACCAGUACCAAGAGGGGCAGUUAACAUCCUCCUUCCCCAGCCUGUGAAACCAACUAGACUAGUUUAUAUUUAAAAAUAGAAAUGCUAGCUACUGUUACUUGAGAAAGUAAUCGUCUAACAUUCUCCAUCCUAUUUGUUGAAAAGUCUUUGUUAUUCUAUCUUAUGAUUAAUUAUCCUUUUCUUUCAUUAAUUAAUCACUAUUUAUGAUACACUUCAAUCAAUAGGAGAGUGAUAGACGAUCACUUUCUCAAAUGAAGGUAGCUAGCAUUCCUCUUUAUAUAUAAACAUAUAUGAACUGAACUGGACUGGAACAGCUGGUUAAAAUAUUUAACACAUGCUGCAUGGUAGCCAAAGCCAAGCAAUGAUUUUUCAAAAAAUAAAUUAAAAAAAUCUAAAAAAUAUAUAACAGAAUGUUUAAUUAAUAAUAACUUGGAAUAUAAUUAAGGCAAUAUAUUUACAUUUAAAGGAAAAAUUGUUUGAUUAAUUAUACUACAGUUAAGGAAAGAGAAAAAUAAUAAAUGAACCUGAAUAGUGAGGAAAAAAAAUAAUAAAGAAAGGAAAUAAAUUCAAAUUAUAUAAGGUUUUUUUACUAAAUUUUCAAGGGGGAUAUAACUUUUAAUGAAAAAUUUUUUUUCUCUCCUAAUUCGAUUCUUUAUCAUUAACACUUUCUAUUCACUACCAAUUCAAUUAAGGCAUUAAAUAAUGUUAAUCAAUAUAAUUAAGGAAAAUACAUUAAUUACUUACAUUUAUAAUAUAAAUAAGGAAAUAAAAUCAAUACAAUUUUAAAAUUAAUAAAGGAAAUUAAUAUUUGUAUUCUUUUUAAUAUUUGCAUAAACAUAUAAUGUCUUUUCAUUUCUUUGUAUUAAAAAUAAAAAUAUUUGUUUUGUGAAUUUUUGCUUUAUUUCGACAGUGAAUUUUGUGCGUACAACUGGGUCUCGGUGAUUUAAUGACCUGUACAUUAGAUGAUUUAAUGACCAAUAUAUUAUGUGAGUUUCUAAAGAGCAUCCUAGUUUUCUGCUUGGAUUUUGGAUUCUGGGUACUAUCUAAAUUGAGAAUUAUGGAUCAAACUAUAUGUAUAAAUUGAUCCACUUAGGACCUAAAGUUCAUACAUCUCUACCAAGUCUGUUUUGUCUUUAAUUCUGGAAAUUAAUGAAUCAUUUGAAGGAGUAAGAAAAAGGGAACUUACUGGAGUUGGCCAUGGAGAUUUCAUUGACCUCAUUAGGAUCGAGCCAGAUCUUGCCUUUCCCGCACUUGAGCACGCUAGCGGCAAGCCGCUUCUGGAGCUUCAAGGAAACCAUCUUUCUCUUUGUUAUCACUCGCGUGAGAGGCAAAAGGAGGGUUUUACGACUGGAUGCAGAGGCAAUGUUAUACUAUGGCAUACUGAAUAGUUUAGGGUUAGGGGUUUUUCAUUUCGGAUAUUUACAUAAAUUGCCCAAAGAAUAUCUAUAAUUGCACAGUUAGCUCUCUAAUUUUUUUAAAUGACAAAUAUGUCGACUUUUUAAAUUUAACUUUGCUAUUUUAAUCCCUUUGUGAAAAACAUAUUAAUUAUUAAAUAAAUUUAAAUAAAAUUGAUUGAGAAGACGUAAUUUACACUCUUUAAUUAUUAUAAAUAAUGAUCUUAUUUUAUAUAGUUUUAAAAAAAUUAAAAUAAAAAAUAAAAUUUAGUAAUAAGAGAUUCCAUUAUAAUUUAUUUUGUAAGCGGUGUGCAAACAUAAACUUGAUAUAAUGUUUUAAUGUCAGACUAAUUAAUUUUUAUAUUAAAUAAUAUAUACAUUAUCAUAUUAUUUAAUAUGAUUUAUUUUGUAAAAGAAAGAAUUUAAAUAAAAUUAUGAAAGAUUACACUUUAUUUUAUUAAAAAUUAUUAAUAACAAAAAAUGAAAUGUUUUUAUUUGAAAUCAUAAAAAUUAUAAGAAAAUAAAUUAAUUAAUUUUUUUUAAUUCUAAACGAAGGAUAUGUUUUUAUUAACGGUGUAUCAUCUAAAAUUAUAUUUUAAUAACAGUAUAUCAACAUUUUAUUGCUUUUUUAAUAAUCAUUUAUAAACUAUAUGUUUGAUUAUUUAGUUAUAUUUAAUUUUAUUUUUUUUCAUUACUAGCAACAGCAAUAGGAAUUGACUACAAUAGCAGUAAAGUUUUACAACAAAUAAUGUUACAUAUCUAAAUUAUACAAAGACAAAUCCUUCAAUAAUAUAUUUUUAAAAUAAAAUUAACAAUAAUAUCUGUCCAAAAAAUAUGAUGCUGAGAAAUAUGGCGAAAGGAUAUCCAUGGAAGGGCCGGGGUAAGUUGCAAGGCAGAUGCCGCUGCAUCCGUCUAAUUUCAUGUUAAUGUUUUAUUUACAUAUUAAUAGUUUUUAAUUGGAUUAGAUCCAUCAUCUAUCAAUAGAUAAGCAUUGGUUUUGUCUUUAUUUUCCCUUUUUUUUUUUAAAAGAAAAAUCGGCAUUAUUUUCAAAGGGGCAAAAAGCUACGCAGACCCAAAGCCCAUGAAUCAUGGGUUAGAAGCAGUCCAUAAACGAUAUUUUAAAUCAUCCAAUUCGCUUUGGUUAAAAACAAAAAAACAAAAGACAUCCAAUUCGAAGCACGUCUCAAAUAAAAUAUCAGAAACAAAUGCUGCUGAGACUCAAGUUCAACAUGCGACGCGUUCCGUUUAACGUCCUGGUCCUUGUCAUUUCAUCCGCCCUUUCCAGAUUGGUUUUCCCUUCCCUUGAUUUUCCUGGACAUUUCCCGAGAAAAUAAAAUCCCCUACUCGCACGCCUUCUCCGUAAUCACCUAUUCUCCAUUCUCAAAAAAUCCCAUUCCUAGUUAGUCAUGAUGGAUAUUUCUGUCAUUGCUGAUACGGUAAUCGAAGUCACACAACAAGGGGUAGGAUUUUCGAAUUCACUACUCCACCGACAAAUUUGCAUCUCCAAUGGCAACUGUGCUCUCUCCGGUAGGUUCCUCCAAAGCGCCGAUGUUAUUUUGGACGCGCUAGCUCCUCCGCCGGUCACAUCUAAUUCGCAUAAAACCGCUCGCCGGACUCUUCUUCGCUGAAAGCGACGGACGAGGCGGCGAUCUUGCGGCAGCGGAGACUACGAGGAUGAUGGCGACUAUAUCGGGUUUUGGUGGUGAUGGUGACGGUAAUGGUCUGCUUGGUGGGGCUGGUGGAAGUUGGGGCGGUGGCAGAGGGUGGAAUUUUGACAGAUUUGGCGGACAAAAUUGGGACGAGUGGUCGUGGUCGUCAUCAUCUGAGUUUGCUUAUGGGUUCAUUUAUGAGGUGAUUUAUUGGAUUGCCUUGUCAACUUGCACGCAUUUUGCGUUUGAGAAGGUUGUGAGGAUCAUGGCCGAUGGAAUUGAUGAUGCUGAGGGAGAGAAGGUUCCUAUGAGAUUGGCAUCCGUUUGCUAAAUUGGUAAGUGAUAUUGCAAUUUACGAAUGAAGGGAAAUGAAUUGGCUAAUAGUUAUUGUAUAUUAAUUGUGGUAUGAUAUCAUAUGCUAUUUGCUCUUAACUUUCUUCCCUCAUGUAAUGCACAUAUUGUAUAUAUAUUUAUCCACAUUGUUUCAAUUUAUUGAUAGGAUGCCGCAUUUUAUUUUUGUUUUAUUACUUGAUUUACCCAGUGAUGUGCUGUGUCCAUUUGGUUACUUGACAAGGGAGGUCCUUGGUUUCACAUUUUAGCCAGUGACAGAUGGCAACUUAUGUAUUCGUUCCCUAUAAUAACAUGGAACAGUAAUUUCAUGAUAUUAUAACUCUGUUGAGAUUUUAGAUUGAUAAUGACAUAUUAUCUUGGGAUGGUAUUGUGACUGAGAUACAUGUAGUCUCAAUUUUUUUAUAAUCUAGGUGGUGUUCUUGUUUAUCUAUUUCAUCGUUCUUGUUUCAUGGCGUCUUCAUUUAUUUUGAUUGCAAUUAUAGUUGAUUUAAGUUUGAAUAUCAUGAAGCUUUGAUGAAUUGCUACUUUUUCUCUCAUGACUAGCUUUAUGAUGUUGGCUGUUAAGGUGGAUAGAUAUUGAAAUGCAUUUGUUAGAUGGAGAUGGUGCCUGGUAUUUGUGUGUUGUUCAUGUAAAGGAUAUUGUCGAUACAAAGUUGUAUGAUGGAUGGGAGACUGAUAAUGUUCCAUGGAUUACCUUUUAUGAAGUGUCUCUAGUUUUGAGUUUUCGGUUGUCCUGUAUUGCAUGAAUAUGCAGUGGUACUUCUGUGUUUCUUAUAUUAACCAAAUUGCUCUGCUGUCUCUUCAUCCUUUUGUUUCUCAUAUGCUGUAAAUUGUUUCUUUCCAUGCUUCUGUCUCAAUCACAGACAAACAUGUCAAUUUUGAAAAUUUGAUGCCUCCUUAAUGUUCUCCCUUUUGCUUCUUUUAUCUUGCUCAUCAACUAUUCAUCUUGGUUACUUUAGCCUUUCUUUGAUGUCUGUUUCCUUACAUACUCUUUGUUGUUAUAUCCUAGAUGAUUCUCUUGUUAUUCAUUGUCAUCCUCUUUGGGUAAUCUUAAUUGUCUCUGAAGACUAGAUACUAUCAGGUAAAUUGUAAAUGCUGUGUAGAAGCAAAUCCUUCUUAUGUUGAUGCAGCAUACUGCACCACAUUCAUUUUAGAGAACUACUGACAUGAACCUCCUAAAUCCUAGAAGAAAAUUAAUUAUUUUGUCGCUCUGACGUUUUAGCCAAGAGUUGGUAUUUAGCAUUGCUAGACACAUUAUUGGGGUUGUACUGGCUGGUAAUGCAAUUGAGGUCGUUUCAUCACUGGGAAUGACUUUGUGGACUGGAGGUUUUGAACUUUAAGAUUGAACAUGUUCAGCAAAUAGAUAUUCUUAUGGACAUGGAAAGAGGAAUGUAGUGGCUUCUCUCCCAAAGAAUGGUUGUGCUGUCAGAAGUGAGAUUUUUUAAUGUGCUAGAUGGAUCCGAUCAUAGAGAGUGUAGCUACAGAUUAACAGAGCAAUGGAUGAUGUCUAGUGAAAUCCAAUAAAGGUCAGGUAUCUCUGUAUUCGUUGGCUACAUGCUUUUCACAGCUGAAAACCUUUAUAUGAUGAUGUUAUUGUAGAAAGGUGGAUUUUUUUUUCCAGGGGCUUUAAGAAUGUAGGAUUUCUAUGGGGGGUGAAGCUAGCUAUGCCCGAUCCAAAACUGAAGAUACCAUCUAGAGCCGGUUUUUAGCGAUUUUGUUCCCGACAAUUUUGGUUUUGGUUAGCCAGUUUGGUCUUCAUUUGAAUAGGCUGAUUUUUUUAUUAUUAUAAAAAUAUAAUUGUUAUUUUACAUCAAGAUCUCUGUGUUUAUAUAUAUAUAUACACACACACAUGUAUACUGGGUAAACAUUAUGUAGAAAUGUUAUACAUGUAGGCUUUAAUUAUAAUAAGUGAAAACUGCAUAAAAAUUUACGAAUGAGUAUACGUAAUUAAAAGGGGGAAAUUGGGCGAUUCUGCUGAUUUUUAGAGGGGAGGAGGGUUAGUCACGGGGAGCCAUUGGGGUGUGCCAUAGAAUAUGAUUUGAAAUGUUUUGUUGAAAAAUCAGGCUGAAUCGGAUGGAUAUUUUUUGGAUGGGUUCAAUUCAAAAGCUGUUAGGUGAACUGUAAUUGACUCUCCUAGCCUGGGUACCCGAUCAAUCCGAGUUUUCAGAAAACGGUGACCGACACCAACCUGAUUGGAUAUUGAGUCUAUCUUGAAUUGUGGCUGGGCCUAGUUUCAUGUACCAAAUUUCGCUGGUUUGGAUUCAUGGCCGCCAUCAAUGAUCAAAACGUCAAAGAGAUUAUGACAUGAUCGAGUCCAUAUCAACACGAUGGAGAAGCAAUGAAUUUGCCUUUUUCUUUUUUCUUCUUUUGUUGAAAAUUGAUGAAUAAAAAUGUAUUUGAUUGCGCAGCCAAACUCUGCUUUAUGAAGCUUCGGUUGCCUGUUAGUUUAAUUUUCACUUGAAACAUGCUAGAUGGUUGGCCUUUUAUUUAAAAAGAAGGAAAAAAAAAAAAAGGAUUAUUGGCUAAAAGGAAUUUCCAGUGGCAAGUGGCGGUGGUAGGACCAUCCUUUCUUCUUCAAGGCACAAUAAGGUGCUAUGAAUUUGCACCAAGUUAUUAUUAACAAACAAGUUGUAGUAACGAUGAGUUUUGUCGCAUAAAUGAGUGGGAGUCAGCUGACACAAUCUCGAUUUAAAAUAUAUACAUAUAUAUAUAUACUCAAGUCACACUGAGCAAUAGAUUAUGGAAGACAAAAAGAAAAGAGGAUGGAUGAUCUCUUUCAAGAAAAUUAUCAUUUUUUAAGGAAAUCCCACUUGGAGUGUAGCGGUUGCACAUUCGGUUUUGGUUCAUGCAUCUUCAAUUAUGAAUUGUAUGAAUACACCGUUAUUUAAUUUCUUAGUCUUGCUUUCUCCACUAAUCCCUACUUAAAAUACAUAUUAUCAAUCUAAUCCAACAUAUGAUUUUAUAUUAUAUUUAUAUUCCAAUUGAUUCUGAUCUGGGUGAUUGAUUUUGAUAUGCAACUGUUUGUCAAUUUUAAAUAUUGUUGCUUGCUUCACCUUCCUCUUCCCCACAUCUUUUCGACCCUUUUGCAAGAUUUUUUUUUUUCACGAUGCGACACUAUGAAUGAAUGUAUAAUUUACUCUUUUUUUUUUAAUGCACGGUCAGGUGGGUUUUCCUAUAAUAUUGAAAUUAAGUCAAAUUUAUCAUACCGAACAGUUAAGAAUACCUUUUAUUGUCAAAUCUCGAAAUUAUAUAAUUAGAAUUAGAAGUGAUACUAGAUCUUGUUAAUGCUUUUUAGAAUUGAAUUAGAAUUGAGAUUUAGAGACUAAACAUGGAUCCCUUAAAUUAAACUUAUCUAUUCAAACAUCAAUCUUGUUUGAAUUUAUUAUUUUCUUUUAAUAACAGUUAAUCAAAUUAAACAGAAUAAUUUAUAAAAGCAGAUUUCACCUAUGUAAUAAAUUUAGAGCCCUCGAAGCAAAUUGAAAUUAAUCAUACCGAAAUUAUAAUUCUAAAUUAAUUUAUAAAGCAGACCUCACUUAUAUAAUAAAUUUAGAGUCUUCGAAGCAAGUCUUGUAAUGGUCAUAGGCUUUUUAUUAGAGGGAAAGAAAUAUGUUGUAGCUGAGUGUACGAUCAGCUUCUCUCCAAGUCAAAUUGGACCAACGUUUCAAAAUGGCUAACCGUGAAUUUCAAAGUGAGCAGUAUUAGUAGUAGUGUUGACUGUUAAGUAGUGAGAGUAGUGUCUGGAACUUAUCCAGCAACCACAAAAGAACAAUAGUAUAGAUAGGCAAGGCCAUUGGCAUAUGAUAUAGUCAAGAAAUCACACCAUCUGCAAAGGAAACUUGAGAUUUGUGGGUGCAUGCACUGUACUAGUAUUCAAUGUGGCGCGGGGAGGGGAGGGGGACCUUCCUUUCCUGUCAGGCAGUUUAAAUACCACCAAAAAGAUGUAAAGCCCUUGUCUAUCUUAUCUGUACUUGGAAUUCACUUCUCCUUAUAUAUGAACUAGCCAGGGUCCAUGCAGCACUGAGUCAAUGCAAAGCUAAGAGAAUACAUCUAGUUUCAGACAAAAACUAAUAAAGCCUCCUUAAUAAUUUUUUUUUUUGUCCUUCGCCGCUACUAAUCAUAAGGAUUCUUCUAAGUUUUGUUAAUUAGCACGCCAAGUUAACCUUCUGAACCAAUUUGCUUAAGAUUUUAUUCGUUUUUUUAUAUUAAAUUAAGAAUAUAACACAAAGAGGGCAAACUACUUCUCAGAAGAUAAGUAUUAAUUAGUUUUAGCAUUGAAUGGAUUCAUAAAACAGAAUUCCUCUUUCCAAAUUUUUAUUGCUUGCUUAUAUAUCCUUUGUUGCAUGUAUUAAUUAUAUAUCAUUUUUGCUAUAAUAAUUAAUAUAGACAUUAAUUUAUGAGUACAAUAAUUUGACAAACUAUAGAAUACUGACACACAUUACCAAACAUCACGGGCAUGAAUUUUAGACUUUUUGAGAGAGAAAAAAAAAUUAAUUAUGAUUAAUUUUUAUUUAUUUUAAAGUGUUAAAUAAUAAAAAUAUUCUCAAAUUUAAAAUUUUAUUCAUUAAAAAAAUAAUUACAUACUUUUUGCUGUAUAAUAUUAUUAUUUAAUUUAUUGAAAAUUAAUAAACAGAAAAAAAAAUCUAAAAAAUGACGAAGGAAAAUAAUACUGCAAGCGACAAUUAAGUAAGAAAAUAAAUGCAAUUGAAAGAGAGAGAGAAACAGAAGCCGAUAUUAAAAAGUAAUUAGUCUCGAGCAAAACCAGUUCAAUCUAUAAUUAAAACCAUCUUAAACAAGGAAGCAUCAAACAUAAACACAGUACCAUUAAAACCCUAAACACAACCACCGCUUGCCACAUUUACUUUAUUUAUUAUUUACUUUAAAAAGAAAGCUGGCGCUGGUUCUGAUGAUGGCUCACCAGGUCAUCCAGCAUCCACAGGUCCACCGACUCGCUUGUCUCACAGCUGCUUCCACUCAGCUGAGCCACCAUCUGCUCUGGCUCCAAUUCCAGAAACGUCUCUAGGCUUGAGAUUUGUUCUUUCAGCUCACAUUCACUGCCCAAUUCUUUUUGGUAUCCGACGCCAACACCCAUGUAUGGUGGCGGUGCUGGCACGCUGCAGGUUUGGAAGCCAGCAGCAGUCAUCUCAGAAGCGAUAAGGCACCGCUUCUUUGAUGGUGGUGGUACCGUCGGAGAUGCACUUGUAGCUUGAGGUGGUGGUGGGGAUGGUGACUGCCCAAAAUUGAGCUUAGCCUUGUCGCCACGGAUGCGCUUGGCUGCCUCAUCGUACGCUCGGGCGGCUUCUUCAGCUGUAUUAUAAGUCCCGAGCCAGACACGGACACCCUUGUGUGGGUCUCUGAUCUCAGCAGCCCAUUUCCCCCAUGGCCUUUGCCUUAUUCCUCUGUAAAUAUUCUUGCGAAUUCUCUGACUCUUGUUCCCUUCCGUUGCAGUGGUAGUCUUCUCAGACUUCUCACUGCCGAUGGCCACUAAAAUUGUAGAAAGAAACAUUUAAACUAUUGCUCUCAAUAGUUAAAUUUUUUUUUUUAAAUCAGAUAAAUAAACAAACAAAAAAUCAUGCAAUAAAACCAAAGGCAGAUACGCUUACCCAUUACACAGAUAAAAUAGAGAAAAUGGUUACCUUGGCUGAGCAGCUGUUGCUCCUUUUGUUUUUCAGGGAGUUUAAGAUCCAGCUGGGUAGAUAUCUGGUCUUUAUUAGCAUUAUUAGGAUAGUCCAGACCAAGAAAGUCAGAGAAGGUGUCAAGCUCAGACCAGAGAUCCUCGGCGUUCCAUCGCCGGCUUCGUUUGACGGCAACGAAAUCGGAGAUAAUAGCACCACCACACAUGUUUCCAAGAGAGAAGUAGGGCGUGUGUGUUCAUUCAAGUGAGAGACAAAGGGAAAAGAGAGGGUCUGCUUUUAUAGAUCGACGGUUACAACCAAUCUACCAGAACAAGACAAGAGCUCUCAAACGUUUUCUGGGUGAUGUUUGUCGUUUUUGGGAUUUUUAUCGGACGGUGGAGAUACAAUCAGAAAAAAAAGGCCAUGGGAGAUCAGCGAGAGACGUGGGAUCGCUGAUCAGGUUUAUUUGAUAGUAGGAUUUUUACCAGGGGUGGGAAAAAAGAAAAGUGAUUUUUACCAGUUGGAACCACAUUAUCCAGUGACAGGUGUGUUGACGUGGCUUUCUCUAACUGGGAAGAGGAAAUUGUGCUGAUUAUUUGGUGUAACGCACGUCAAUGAGGAGUUGUAGUUCCCAAAAUUAAAACCGCCCAGUGGCAGGGGGACUUUAGAAUUUACUUGCUGUCGCUGCUAGAAUUACUGUUGAAAUUCGUUAAAAUAUUUAAAAUUAUAUUGAUAUACGUAUUUAAUUAGAAAACAUUUUUAAUACUAUUUAAAAUAAUGCUUGUUUUGAAAAAAAAAAAAAAAAUUCUUUCUAACAAUUAAAUUUGCAAAUUGCAAUGAAUCCUAUUCAAAAUAAUACAGAAAACCAAUGUAUGUUUGGAUUGGCAAAAUGCAUUACUUCUGAAAUUCUAUAUAUAAAUUAAUGGAAAAUUUUAGUAAAUUUAGAUGUAUUUCAAUUGGAAGAUUGGCUUUGAUAUCUGAAUUGCUCUAAUGACUAAACUGUGUAAUGGAAGCAUACAAAUUUUAUUAACACAUGUAAGGCAUUAAAAUUUGCUAAUCAUAUGCCAUGCAAAAAGCUGUCUUUUUUAGAUUAUUUAUUUUUAAUAAUAAAAAUUACUAAAAUUAUUACCGAUUAUUAUUUAAUAUUGAACUUUCAAUCGACCCAUGAAAUUUUAUUGAACAAUACAAUUUUUAAAUAUAUAUUUUUUUGAUAUUUUAAUAAGCAAAAUGCAUUUAUUGCCCUUAAGAAAAAAAGAAGGAAAGCAAUCAUGAUGAAUUAUGUCAAAUAUGGAGUCGGCAAAGGAAAUGGGAAUGAGAUUUAAUCUUUUUCAUUUUAAAGAGCAAAAGACAAACGAGUAAGUGUAAAGGGUAAUCUUUUAUGAUCCGUGUUCUUGUACGUAUUGAAGAACAGCCAGUAGGUAGAUGUAUGAGAUAGGCCCUCAAAUGCCUUGCAAUGCAAUUUGCAGAGGUUUUAGCUGCAAAAGGGGAUUUGGGCUGCAGAAAAUCCUGGAGAUAGCAAGUGGUUUAGCUAUGGGCUUAUACAGAAAGGAACAACCCAUUAAGAUAAGCAUUGCCCUUAGAGGAAAUGGGUGACGAAGUGGUAGAAGCUAAUAUUGCAUCACGCACGAGGGCCUUGCAGGCUUUUUGGGCUGAAAUGGGAAGAGACCUUGUCAGCUUCUGACUUCCAAGUCUACAUUUUCUCACCACUCACGUGGCCCCCCUAGCCCACAAACAAAUCUCUGAUAUAAUCAUUUGGCAUUUAAACCUUAUUUUGGCUGACCAUUUUACUCUGGCUCCUUUCUGGAGUGGUUAUUCCAGGUCAUAGCUACAAGCCAUUUUAACCUAUACGGAAUUUGUCUCUAGUAGCUCACACCAACCAACACACUAUGGAUCAGACCCAGUAUGUAUAUUUAUAUUUACUGAUUUUCUUUUUAAAUAAAUAAUGAAUUUUUAGUGCUAUUAAAAUGAAUUGGGUAACUAAAAAUAGCUUACCCAUUGAUAAGAUGGCCCCAAAAUCAAGAAUCCAGCUCUGAUUUCCAGUGUCAGCCUUAGGUGGCACCUAUAUUUGCCAAAAGUCUACGUCAUAAUUCCUGUAAUUGGCAAAAGGGCGCCAUUAUAUAUGGACUCGUAACAACAGCGAAAGUACUAAAAGAACAACAACAGUGAAAGUACUAUCUACUAUGCACGAUUUGUACUUGCAAGUUGCAUCUUUGCAAGCGCCAUUGCAACCCCUAGCCACCCAAUUCAUUUCACCUAUAUAUAUCUCCUGAAUUUUCCAUUUAUUAUUUUUAUUAUUAUCAUUCUGUAUUACAUGGUUCAAUUGGUGACCCAAUCUGCAAGGGGGUUAACCAUCCAAGAACUCUGAAGUUUGCCCCUGAGAUUAAGCUUUGCUAAAUUUGUGAAGUGGCGAAAACAUCUCCGACUCUGAUCACAUUUAUCCGAUGCUCAUGAAGUCCUAAUAAAGUAAUAAUCCAUUUUAGUUGAUAAAUUAAGCUGGAAUAAAUUGGCAGAACCCAAUUCUAUUAAAUACAAAAAAUCUAAAUACUAUUAUAAUCAGGUAAUAAGGAUCAAACAUGCAUGCGCUCCCUCGUACGACAUGUGUGAGAAAGAGAGAGUAAUUAAAGAAAUGAAACAUUUGAAGCACAGGAAAGAAUAUAACUAAUUCACUAGCUAUUAGGUAUGGUUUUGUAUAUAAAUAAUCAGCUCCUUUUGUUGGGUUGCAGAUCCGUACAUUUUGCAAGGGAUAUCUUUAGAUCUGUUUUGUUUUUUGCUUUUCUUUGUUCUUUGUGUUCAUAUUGCAUGCAGGUGAGUUAAUCCUUCCUCAUCUCAAGAUGCUCCGGUAAGAAGAGAAGACUCAGAUCUUGACGACAUCUAUUUUUCUCCCCUGGUUUUUCACCCGUCUUUGUCUGUGGUGCUUCAGAAAGAGAUCUACCUAUAUUGGCUGUGAAAGAGAGUUUCAAGUUUUCUUCUUUGAUGAGAAUCUCGGGGAUCUCUUCGCUUUAAGAUUUAUUUCUUGAAAGGUCGAUCCUAAGGCUUACAGUGCCGAAGAGCCCUUCUCGGUGGACUCUUCACAGCUUGGACGAAGUUUUAGCCACGUUUCGGUUCUGCUAUUAAGUUCUUUGGUCCUUCAAUGGGUGAAGAAGCCGCUUGUUUGGAUUGUAUGAGCUUCAAUAUGUCUCCUUCUCUGUUUUGUGGCAACCAUCUUGGCUUCUUCUUCGACGUUAGCCUUACGGCGGCAAGUUUGUUUUGCUUUCUCUCCUGCGCCUAGGGUUUUAAUUUUUUUUUUUGGGUCUAUACUCUUGUUUUUGGGCUUCUUGAUGGGCUUAGUUUUUUAUGUUUGUGAGGGCCAUAGAGUUUUUAUUUUGUGGCUUGGUGUUUGUAUUUUGAGCUCUCGAGCUUUUUUGAAGGAAUAUUAUUUUUCGGAAAAAAAAAAAAAAGAAUUAUGUGCCAACUGCAAAGUACUUGAGUCCGCCGCCAAGUAGUUCCUUAAUGCGUAGCUCUUGAAUGCAAAGAAAUGUAGAGAACUUGAAAACAGAAAUUGGAUUAAUGAAUAAACAAAGAAAAGAAAAAAAUAAUACUCAGACAUAUCAUAACUCUCUCUCAUACAGACAGAACACAGCAAAACAAUAACAAAAUUCCAUAGCCUCUUUGAAGUAUCCAAUAAUGUUUAUACUCUGUCACUAUUAACAGACAUGAUAUUUAACAAAAUCAUAUGUGCCACAAUUAUCAAUUGAAAUAAAUUUAUUAAAGCAAAAUGUCAUCAUUCCCUGCAAUUUUAGUGAGGAGGGAAAGGUAUCAAAACCUAAAUGAAAAGGCUGAAUUACAAUGUAAAUUGCAAAAUCUUUCUAGUCCACCAUUUUUGUCAAGCGGUGAAUGGUACUCCUUGCAAUCCUAUUAGCAGGAUCGAUCUUUAGAACAGUUCUCAGAUCUUCUGCCCCCAGCUUGUACUUUUCCAUACUUUCAUACAGGAGUGCACGUUGUACAAGAACAGACACAUUUGCACCAUCAUGUUCAAGCACCUGCCCAAACAUGAAAAAGACAAUAAAUUUCCUACUCCAGAAAGUUGGAUAUUGAGGGAAAAAAUGAUAUAUUAUUAGAGUGAAGGAAACAGGUUCCAAAACCAUAACAGGCAAAAUAUAAGCCAUAGCACAUUUAUUUAGCUCGUCGAUCAGCAUGUUAUGCAGAGCAACAUCAUCAAUGAAUGUUGUACCACUAGGCAAGUUGCUGACCUUCAAAUGGUUAAUGCUUAACUAUUUUCUUUGCCUUCACUAGGAUUUAUUUGUUUAUAUUGUAACAAGUUCUGCAAGAUUUAUUUACAGUUACAUGACACAGGUCCAAGCAAAAGCUGUCAUAGACCAAAAUAAGAUAAACACCAUUAGGGUACUUGAAGACUUACAUCAUAGGCAAACUAGAAGAUCCUACAUGCUUAAUUUGAUGAUCAUGAUAUUGCUUCUUUUUAAUGGUCUAGCUACACAAUACACAUCAAUAGCUGAUUCUUAUGUUCUCUAUACAACCUAAAAACUAAACUAAUAUACAGCCUAAAAACCAAAACCAAGUCAUGGAUUUUGAUGUACAUUUAACAAAAUUUUACGAUAUGAUAUCUUUAGGCCUAACUAGGAAAACUGAGAAGACACAGGAAACCUGUCAAGAAAAUAGAGAGAAAAUAGUAAAAGGAAAGAAAAAUUUAGGGCAGACCUGAAAAUUUUAAAAAGGGAAAUUGAUUCUAAAAUUCUGUAGAUGCCAACCCAACCAAUUCUACUACUGUUAAUAAGUGCAACCUAUUACACGAGAGUAGCAACCUAAUAUGUUAUAACAUAUGAAGUGCUAACUAACAAUCAACACCUCACCAUAGUUCCACACACGAUGAUUACUACCUAAUACGUAAACAGAACACUUCAAAUUCACCGAUUAACCACUAAAAACUAAACUAAUAAUAUGACAUACAUGAGUAGAAACCAUUGGGUAAAUGCAAGCAAUGGUUAUACCUUUGUACAGUCGGCGACAGCCUUCUUAUACUCUCCAACUUCUUUAUAACAUGAAGCUCUGAAAGAUAAAACCUCCGUGGAUGAAGUCUGGUCGCCAGUUUUCUCAAGAAGUAGUACAGCCCAAGACAACCACUUGAUGGCAUCUGCAUAUUGCCCCUGCUUUUGGUUAUCAAUACCCUUGGUCUUUGCUGCAGAAGCUGUCACCCCAGCAGGCGGAGGUGGAAGUCUUUCAAGCUCAGUGGUGGCACCACCUGAAUCAUUUCCAGCCCCUCCUCCAAACUCUGAGUCCAAUCCCCAGUCAUCAACUUGUAAGGAAUGCUGCCCUCCCACUCCUCCAGAUGCUGUUGCAGCCCCUCCCGAGGAAGAGGAAAAGAACAUAUCCAGUGGAUCCCCACUUGAAGUUGUAAUAGGUGUCUGCUUCUGAGAAGUAAAGCCAUUGUUGGGCAUGCUGAAAUCAUCAAUAUUCGAAUUGGAAGUGAUAUUUGAUCCCAUGAAAUCAUUGUUCUUAGCACCAAAACCACCUGAUGGAAAUGCUGUUGUGCUUGGUUUUGCAGCAUCUUGAAAAUCUCCAAAUGCAUCAUCUCCAGCAUUGGUCUUACCAGUUUUACUUGCCGAAUUAAGACCACCAGAUUGUUGUUUUGAUCCAAAAUCAACCAAAGAACCAAAUGGAUCCCUGUUUCCACUAGCUCCACUUCCACUCAUACUUCUCAUUGAAGGGCCGCCAAGAUUCGGACUCCUGUUACUACCAACCUUGGCAUCACCAAUACCAGUAGCAUUAACACCACGACCAUUUAUAUCGUAUCCAGCGGAGUAACUGCCAAAAUUUUCAUUUGAUCCCCAACUUUGACCACUUUUCACCGAAUUACUCGUUUUUGGCAACGAAUCAGCCGGAUUCCCCAUCGAAUAUGCACUAUUAUUCGAUGUGGGUACAGCAUUUUUCAAAGGAACAUUGCUGCUGCCCUUAUUUCCCUGCCCCAAAGCAGAGCUAACCAGAUCCCCAAACAAAUUUGGGUUCUUCUCUACGAUCCCGAUUCCAGAACCUGAAGCCGGUGAAUUCCAGCUCUUCCCAAAUAUAUCACCCACCAUAGAAGCGGGCCCGUUUAGCCCAGGCCGAGAAGGUUGACUCGGUGAUGGUUGGUGAGUCCAGGAAGGUUUGUUCGGUUGCCACGCGGGCUUUGGUUGCGUAGGUGUUGAAGAUGCAUAUGACGAAUAUGAGGAGGAGGUUUGGUUUUUUCGCUCGUUGAGGGAUUUGGAUCUGUUGGAGCCGAGCCCGAUAUCAAAAUUGAAGUUGUUUAAGGAUCCAGAUGAACCUUUCCCAUAAUUGGAGUUCAUUUUGUCCUCCUUUCUUAUCGAAUCAAUUAAAAAGAAAACAGAAAAUAAUCCGUUGGGAUCUAAAGAGGAAAAUGAAAUCUGCUACAACAAAGAAGGUACCUGCUAAUUUGGAGAGCGAGAAAGUAAGGAUCAGAUAAUCCAAACGAGGUAUAUCGGGGAAAGAAGUAGUAGGGAUGUGAAAGGAUGUUUUGGGCGGUGGAUGGCGGAUGUCCGAUGGAGGAGAGUCCACGGAACAACAAGAUGUGAUGGCCUCUCGUGUAAUUUUCAGUUAUCUUUUGGAGUCGGAUUUAGGACAUUUCAGAAUCCUGCUGCCUUCUGCAUAUGCUAUCCAUGUUUUGUAGGAAGGAGGGCUAAAUUAAUCCUUUUCUCUUUUCAUAGUUAUAUUUAGAAAAUAAAAAUUAAAUAUUUUUUAUUAAACUUGGAAAAAUUAAUAUUUGUAACCCUAAAAAAAAGUUGGGUAGAGUAAUUGAUUACACAGUGAAUUAUUAAUUUACAUGUAUUUAAUUAUUAAUGAACCUCUAUCAUUUGUUAAUUGAAAAUCGAUUACAUUUCAUAAAAUCUCAUAUAAAUUGACGAAAUUAGAAAUUUAACAUGGCAAAUUCUUGCCAAAAAAGAAAAAGAAAAAGGCUCCCGGUCAUCUUGGGAUCAAAUCUGACAGGAUUUGUAAUAAGAUAUUUGAAACAUUAUCCUUUCCAAAAUAUAUGGUGAGAACAUACAAAAUAGGGUAUUGCAAAUAAAUCACCAAAUUUGUUCUAAUCAUGCACAAUCAACUAAAAGAAGAAAUAAAAAUAAAGAUACUGAACCAAUGAUGACGAACCAAAUAUAGGAUUUUUUUUUUCAAGUUAUGGUUUGAAGAUUGAUAAGUUCCAUUGAAAGCUAAGAAGGCAUAUUGCCAAGCUGAGCAAUGGGAUUACAAAUUUAGCAUCAUGGAUAGCUUUAGUUGCUAAGGAAGAGCUGCUAUGUUUCCAUCUCUUCUAAAAUGGCUAAAGGAGAUCAAAUCAAAAUUCUUCGAGAGUUGUUUAAUGUUCUUGAUCAGCCCUUGGAUUUAAAGGCAACAACUGUGACCGGUCAAGCCUAGAUGACCGUUAAGGAAUCUCCCCCAACAACAGCCACAAGGAGAGCCUUGGGGGAAAGGUCUAGUUUUGCUUUGGAAGAUAAUUUGUUACUGUAAAUUAUUAGCAUUGUCAAUGCACAAAACUCAAAUGAAGAAUUAUCAAACACGUAUAAUUUUUUGAAAACAGUCCAGAAGAUGCAUAUUUCAUUUAUCUGUAAAAGAUGCAGACAACAUACCCAAGUUUACAAUGAAACUCAAAAUGUGCAAGAAACAAGUUUGUAGCCAACAGGGAGGGAAAAUGACAUAAUUCUUCUUUUGACAUUCUAAGAUCUAAAUUUUUGCCAGUACCAAAAAAUCUCAUGCUAAAGAACUACUAUCUGGUGAAUUCUCAAGUACCCCGGUUAAGCUGCCCUUGGUUCGCAGACAAAUCUGUCCUUGCACCCUGCACUGAUUCAUGAGCAUGCGAAGGUGGUCUUUGUAUUGGCUCUCUCCUCUCAACUUGCAUUGUUUCACGGCGCCUAUCAUACCUUGGGCGAGGCCUGUUCCUACUUUGCUGUCUCUGGUUAUACCAAUAUAUAGGCCUGUGGAUGACCUUCCCAUCGACGAACAAAUCCCCUGGUUAAAACCAAAUGGAAAAAAUGGGAAGUGAAAACUGAUAAUUUAAAAGGGAUAUAAAUAAUUUUUGUUAUGAAACAUUUCAAAUGCAUACCUCCAUAAUCCUUGUUAGGAACAUCAAGAUAUGAAUCUGGCAAAACCCACAGCACACCAGGCAGCCCUAUUUGUCCAGAAAAAUAAAUAUAAAUCAGCCUAACACAAAAAAUCAUAUCAAAAACUGCCAAACUGCAUGUAUAAGCUAGACAAUAAGCCAUGCUGAUUUCAUGAAGGAUGGAAAUUGUUCCUUUAACCUCAAACAGAGACACUCGUCAUCAAUGUGAUUUAAUCAACUACACAUAUCAUCAAAUUUUGUGUGUUGGGGAGCUAAUAUCCUCAAACCAUGUGUUUGACUGUUUGUAUAGAGUGAAGGGAGGAUUUGUAAAGUAAGAUGAUUGAAGGUAAGACCCAAUACACCAAUUGGUGGAUUGAAAAAGUGAGAUAUUUGAAACCUCCAAAAAUCUUACCUAAGCUUAAAAGCCCUUUUGAACCCUUACCUCCAAAAACUCCAUAAAAAACACAGUGAACUCAAAUCUUGCGCAGUCAUAAGAAGAAACUAAAGUUAAUUCAAUGAGAAAGAAGCAUAAUGGCUUUUAAAGACUAAACCCUAUCGCUGAAAGCGCUAAACCCUAAAUGAAGUACCUUUAACUUUGUGAGAAAGCUCCUCAGAAAUCAAAGCACCAAACCCAGUAUAUGCUACCGUGCUAACCGAAUAAAUCUUCUUCUUGGCCUCCUCCUCGCUGCAACCCACACAAACAAUCACAAAUCGAAACUCCAAGUACCUAAAAUUAAAAAGGAAAUCCAAAUCGAAUGGAGUUAAAUUCAGUACCUGCCCACAACAGCAGCAAGAGUUUUGACGUAGGUAUUGAUCAUUUCUUCUUCGGAGGGUUUUGGGUCUGUCGGGAACUCCAUAACGAUAAGCCAGUGUUCAUAGUCGCAGCCAUCCAGGAGGAUCGUUUCUUUUGGAGGCCGGUUGCUCCAGUUGGGAGACGGGUCGUUCAGAGGUGAGUAACCCGGCCCUGAAGUUUUGAAUCGGGCAGGGAUUUUGACAGAAUCCGGGAGGAGUUGAAACAGUGGGUUUUUGUCUAGGAGAGAAAAAACGAAGCGAGAACGAGAAGAGAGUGAAGGCGAUGAAUAACAAGAAGUAACAGUCCGGGUAAGGAGCGAUGCGAAGUUGCGCCUGGUGGCCAGGUACGCCAUUGCUCUCACUCUCCAGUCUCCGCCUUGUUUCUUCUCGAGCUGAGCUAUUGAAAUUGCCUUGCGUUUUGCGAUUAUGAAGACCUCCUUUUAGCUUUUGUCGGAUCGAGAUGAACUAAACGACGACGCUUACAGCCUUCCCUUCUUAUUCUUAUUUUUUAAAAGAAAAAUGGGUUGAACAGGAGAAAUUUGAUUAAUUUUUACCAUCACGAAAUGGACAUUCCACCACUGGAAAACCAACCCAAGAUUUUCUCAAAAAAAUUACAAAAAAAACCUGUAGUUUAAAACAUUUUCAGUAAUACACUUAAUUUCACUUUUUGAUAAAGUGAUAUCUCGAAACAAAAACACUUUUAGAUAAAAAUAUUGUUAGCAAGUAGGGAAAAAAUGUUUGAUAACGUUAGAGUUAAGUUUAUAUGAAAUAAAAUAUUUAAUUAUUUUAUAUAUUUUAUUAAAUAAAAUAUUUUUUUAAUAAUUAAAAAAAUUAUUAUUUUUCUUAAAAGAGAUUAAAGAAAAAAUAAUAAAUUAUUGUAAUUAGAAACACAUAUUAAUCGUCAUUUUCAUUUAAUUUUUACAUUUAAAUAAUUUUAAUUAAAUAAAAAUAAAAAAUAACAGAUAGAAUCUGAUGAAAAUAAAGAAGUUAGAAUUAAAUAGAGAUUAAUGGAGGAUGAGGAGGAGGAAGAGGUUGAGCAUCGAAUAAAGUAUAGUGAUAAUGCUAAUAUUUAUGAUGACAAUGAAAGCGAGGAUAAUAAUUAUGAAAAUAAAUACGAGGUGAAUGAAAUUUUUAUUGAUUAUGAUAGUGUUCAUGAAUAUGAGGUGGAUAGUGAUAUUAAUGAAAUGUGAGCUAAUUUAGAAGAAAGUGGCAAUGAUGUUAUAAAUCAAGAGAACGAACAUGAAGUGGAGGUACUGAUACAACCAACUCCAUAAGUGAAAAUAUCAAUGAAAAAGGCGAACAAGAAUUUUUUUGCAACUCCAACUUCAUCUAUAUAUGAGUGCAAAAUAUUCUUCAAUUUUAUAAUAAAUUAUUUGCUUUUAUUUAAUUGAUACAAUAAUUUUACUUUUUUAGCACGACAAUUAAGCAAUUCAUUCUCAUAUUUUUAUAAUCUUUUCAUCAUUUUCGAAAAUACAACUUUAUAUUUUCGACCAUUGAAAAAAUAGGCGCCGGUCCUCAUAGGAACUAGUAGCAUGCAUCGACACCUGAUUAUAGUGUUCCUCUCUCUACUCAUAUCAAAUAUUGAGAACUCAUUCUCGUUUUAUUUUAAAAUUAUUUAGAUAUUGUGUUAUUUCAAAAAGAUUAGAGAUUGUAUAGAUAAUUUGAGAAAUUUUAUUUUUUACCAAGGUAACAAUAAAAAAAUAGUAAAUAAUAACAUAUUCAAAUCCACGUAUGCUUCUAACGGCGUUAGCCCAUUUUUCCCUGCUUGCUAAGUACUAUAUCUCUAGACUGACAAAAUGUAAAAUUGAAGAAAAGUGAAAUUAAGGACCCGUUGACAAAUGGGUUAAACCACCAGAAAGUUUUUUGUAAUUUCUCCCAAAAUAAAAUCUUAGGAUUGUUCUGAUCAUUAACGUCAUUGUAAUAACAAUUUGAUAGGAAACAAAACUAAUCUUAUGGAGUAGGAGAAAAAUUUUCCGUCUCCCUUGCUAGAUGUUACAACUAACUUUCCUACAGAGGAACAAUGGCGAUUCCAUGCUUGCUCUGUACUUAGUUCCCUGUCCAAAUUAGAAGCUAGAAUUGUUAACUUCCAAACUAUUAACAACACCCUUCACAUUCAAACCUUGCCUAGGAUUGUCUGGUAUUGUGUAGUUCAAAUUUAUUUCAGUGAGACUUAUAGUCUCACAGGGGACGCUCGAACUGCAGAGCAAUUUCACUGCAGAAUCGGAGUUGUAAGAGCCACUGGCGUUCUUCACAUAGAUGUUAGUUUUACAAGAGAGGGCUACAUGCACACAGACCAAUAAUUAAUCGUGUCUCGCUUGUGAUUUGUGAAGAGUGGCGAAGAUUUGUUUCCUAAACAUGGAUGAUUAAUUACCUUAGAAGAGUCGCAGCUGUUUGAAGGAUAAUAUUCUUGAUCGAUUGAUUACAGGGUUUGAAACAUUGAUCAUGACAAUAUUCUGGAAAGUAAUGUUAGAAGCAGUGCUUGCUGGAGAUGCUGGCCAUGUUUUUACUCGACCUCCGUUGUGAGUACCAUUGAUAGUGCAGUUCUGAACUGUAAUCCCUGUCACAUCCUCCUCAUUUGGGUACUUACCAAGGCGCCCUAUACUGGAUAUAGAGAAUGAAAGCAGUUUAGUUGCAUAUCAAGUUAUUGGAUUCUUAUGGUGUUUACAGAAGCAGGACCAUUACCUUAUUCCAUGGCCUGGACCGCACAUAACAUCAGAAAUGAAGAUGUUGGUGCUGCCAGGUCCCAUGGAGACACAAUCGUCACCCACUCCAAUGACUGAAGAAAUGACUCUGAUAUUUGUGGAAUGACUAAUGUGGAUGCCAUCUGUGUUUGGGCUAUCCCAAGGAGCUGUAAUUGUGAUAUUUUUCAUUAUAAUGUUGUUGCUGCCUUGCAAACUAACAUGGAAGGCCUUACUGUUUAUCAGGGUGACGUUGCGGAUAGUCCCAUCAGAAAUAUUAGAGAACUUUAGUGACUGAAUCAAUUCAAUCGAGAGCAGCAGAAUAUGGUUUCGUUAGUUGAAGAAAAAUUACCAACUUCUUCAACUUUGAUUAUGGACUAAUUCAAGAAAUUACAACUCACGGCAAUCAGUUCUUUGCAUCCCAUUGAAUUGCGGCAGCUGAUCUGUCUCCAGGCUUCGACAGCUCCCUGCGCAUCGAAAUUUGUCACUCCAUUGCUGCCAUAGAGAACCAUUCCAUUCAAUUGUUUGAACUCGAUCCAGUUAGAAUCAGGAAAGUCGUUCAAGCUACAAGGAGCUAUCAAAGUCCCUUCAAUCUUCACUUCCAGGGACUGGUUGUUGUAGCAAGGGCCAGCGAAUGAGAUUGGACCCACAAAGAAUUCACCCUCAGGAACGCAGAAGGUGGAGUUUCCUGCAUAACUGCAAGCGGCAUCCCAUGUGGCUAAGAAUGCCUAUUGAAAAGUAAAAAAGAAGGGAAGCGAAUCACUCCAUUCAUUAUUUAUGACAUAAGAAAUCGGAUGUUAUGGGUUUCUUUUUCUUUUAAGUUUCAAGUUUUGCAUAAGAAGGCUGGAACUGCAAAUUCUGAAGUUAAAAACACCUUGACUCUGAAAGUCAAGAACAUUCAAUUGCUGGGAUUCAUGCUUCUUGUAUUGAGUGGCAAAUUCUCAAGGAUUAGACGAUCGUACUUUGCUACUUUCUGUCUCUCCAUCAACGGUUGCUCCAUACUGAUUCACAUCAAAAACUCCCUGUUGAGGUCCUAAAGAUGAUUCAGGUGAUUCUACUGGUGCUGGAGCUGGUGCAGGAGAAUCAGCUGAAGGUCCUGGAUCCAGGUCAGGUUCUGGAAUUCUGUCUACCGCAUAACUUGCAUGAAAAACUGCAGUAUAAAGAAAAAAAAAAUACUUAUGCAGCAUGAGAUCAUUUCCUUCAUUUUCAGUAUCAGAUAGGCCUACAACUUUGAAACUUGAUUUCCAUUAAGGGCUCAGUUUUGGAGCCUUCUUCAUGUGUUUUAUGUACAUAACCCAAAGCAAGUCAAGAAACUGCACCAAUAUAUCUAUAUAUAUGCAUAUUGCUUAUUAAACGUUUAGGUAGGUUAAUUUCUGGUUGGAGUUUGUUAAACUCAUGACUGCUUUAAGUUAUUUUAUAUUUCAAAUGACGUCACAAUCUUUAUGAAUUUUAGUAGUUUCAUCAGAACUGAUGAAUUUUAGGAGUUUCAUCAGAAUUGCUAAUUUAAAAUAAAAUUGCAUUCAUAUAUUCAUUUUUAAACCCCUUUGUAUCAGGUAGGCACAUUUGAGGGGAAGGAUAUUGGAGGCGCCCAGAAUGUGAACCAACUGCCACUCUAGACAGGGAUACAGGUUGUCCUAUUUAGGAGGUAUGCUUUGUACCAGGAAAUCAUUGAAAAUAGCAUGUUUUAUUCUCAUCAUACGCAGCUUGAGGAAGCUUCAGCAAAUUAUUUUACUGAAUCUGAAUCGGAUCAAUGGUUAUGGGCAGAUGCGUCUGUAUAAGGAUCUUGAUGAGUAAUACAUAGAGAACUUUUGGUUUGGCUUAUUGGUCAGUCAAACCUACUCAUGACUGAAAAAUUGUAAGUAUAAUGGUGAAACUGGAAGCUAACAGGUUUGGAAUUCUGCAUAUAUAGAUCUCCAAAGAGAGAUUAAAAUUGUUUAAAUUUAUCUUGGAUGUUGCUAAUUCCUGUUGUUAUUAUUCCUCUGCUUUUAACAAAUUGCUGUACGCAGAGACUUGGAAUUCCCAUCGCUUCUUGCAUUUGAAGUUGUCUUUUGCAACCAAGCCAAUGUGGUCAAAAUAAAAAGCUUUUCUAACUAACCCUUUUCAACCGGUGGCGAACAGCAAAAAUAUUUUUGCAAUGAUGCUUAUGAAGUGUAUGUAAAAUUAAUUUCUAUUAGAUCCAAAAGCUCCAUCGCGUUGCACGUCAGCUCUACCAAGUGAUAAAAACGAUGCUUAAGACUGCCAAGUUAGGCCCUCAUCGGCACGGCGGUGGGAAUUGAAUGCCUGCGUAGCUUACUCUUGCAUUUUGGCAUGUAGCAGAGAGAGCUUGUUUUUUAUCACCUGUAUAUUCCAGUUUGAUGUUUGCCAAAUGAACUCUUUGACAGGGGAACUGCUUGCUGCACUCAAAAUUCACUCCAACUUCUGAGCUUGUGGUUCCCUUGAUGUUUAUGUAUUUAACAUCGCUGAUCCGUACCUUUGAUGGCUGCACGUAAACAUGGAAUAAUUAUCAGUUUUAUUUCCUUAUUAAGUGGUAAAUGAUUAAGUCCAAGAAGACCAACCUUAUUUGAGUUAGAUCCGUAGGACUGAUCAAUAAUGAUGGGGUUUCUAACGUUAUGCAUAACGAUGUCCUGGAAAGUCAAGGCUGUUGCUUGGCUUGGAGGUGAUCCUGCCCAUGUUUUGAUUCUGAUUCCAUUUUCGGUGUUCCUUAGCGUGCAGUUUGUCACAAGGAUGCCUUUCACAUCCUUCUCAUCUGGGUACUUCCCAAGACUACCAAUACUGUUGUGGAUGUAUAAACAUGUUAAGAUUAUAGAAACCCAUAAAACACUGCCAGUAUCUCCCACACUUAUUUAAAAUGUUGAAUAGAGAUUUACCUGAUGCCGUGUCCGGGACCACAGGUCACUUCCUUGAUGCUAAUGUCGGUACUUCCUUGAAUCAUUCCGACACAAUCAUCUCCAGUAGCAAUGACACUUGUAGCUAUUUUAACUUGAUUGGAUUGGCUGAUAUGGAAACCAUCAGUGUUGGGGCUAUCUUCAGGAGCUGUUAAAUGGAGACUUUUGGCUGUAAUAUUCUUGCUGAGAACAAUCCCGAUGUGGAAUCCCAUGGGGUUAACAGAACUGACUUGCCUUAUAACUCCAUCUCUCACACGAUGGAACUUAAUGGACUGCGCCAGGAGAAAAUAGCAAAAGAAACAAGAACCAUUAUGAAUUUCAACCCAAAUUUUAUUAAUGACCGUAAAGAAAAUCACUGAUAAUGAAAAAAGGUUCUAAUAGUUUAGUUGCUUACUGCUGGAAAAACUCUGCCUCCGUCUCCGUGAUCGUUAUAUUUCCAUACAUUAGGGCCUUGGCCAUCGACGGUGCCAGUUCCAGUAAUCACCAAGCCAUUUACAUUUCGGAAUAUCAUCCAAAAAUCUUCUGCAUAGCUGCUCAAAUUUGAUACUGCCUUGAGAGUUCCUACAAGUUGAAAAACAGUGGGAGCUUUAUUUUUGCAUGGUCCGCCAAAAACCAUGGAAGAGGCUACGAAAGCCCCCUUCGGGACAAGUACCCUUGCCUUCCCUUUCCAGUUGCAUGCAGCAUUCCAUGCCUGAAUAAAAGCCUGUAAUGAACAAACCCGAAAACUUAAGUUGUUUUCAGUGAACUUGGCCAAUUAUUGUAUUACACUAUGCAUGGGACAAGUUACAGAGUGAAGUCUCUCUCUUACUAGUGCAUUAUCCUUUUCUGGAUCAGUUUUUGCACCAAAUUGUACGACGUUGAAGAUUUUUUCAUUGGAGUAUCUUCUACGACCGGGGCGUAUGGAACUGCGCUUAUCACAAGAGGCCAACGCUACGCAAAAGAGAAGAAUGGCAUUUGGCAAGAGUUUCUUUGUUAUGGCCAUUGCCAUUCUUCUUCAAAUCCAAUCUGUGGGAUUCUUCCACUUCUCUCUGUAAGAUAAAGAAUUAAGAAGCCCCGAUAUUACGAGGCUUAAUCAAUGCGAUUGUGACUUCUCUUUGUAAGCAUCAUCUUUAUAGCAUGGAUUUUGCAAAACAGAGUGAUGCAGGAUAAAAGCUAUCGUAGGAUAUUUUUUAUUAGUUGUUUGUUUGGUUGCAUCUUUGCCAUGAUAGAUUCACCUUCCUAGCAUUUAGGAACAAUAAGCUCUCUGUCUGUGUUGUUAAAAACUAUCUGCUGCUUCUCCGUUUUAGGCUCUCCAUUUUGGCCACCUAUUUAACACCGGCAUUGCAGUAAACAAUUACAAGACGCAAUUUCUUCCAGGUUUAGAGGAGGAUUUUCUGGCUUAAUUCCAGAGCCAACACCCAAAUGAUGAGACUCAAUGUGUAACAAAUAAGGCGAAUGGUCCGGCGAUAAGGUUUCUGUCAUGGUUUACAGUUCCUACUUCCUAGCUAGCUCACAUAUCAAUGACAAAGAUUGUCUUUCUAGUCCUGCUAAGUUUGUUGUCAACCAACUCUAAGUGCAUAAAAUUGCGGACACAAAUACACUAAUCAGAAAUCAAUUUCAUCGCAUUGAGGUGAUAUUCAGCCAAGCUUGUGUGCAGUAUAUCUAUAUCCACCUUCCCUGUUUGGUUAAAAAUGUGCCAUGAACUAACUUUUCCAUCUUCCCUGUUGAAUUUCUAGACGUGGAAAGUGCUUGGCCAUUUAUGUUUCUUCCUCUUUCUUAUUCUCCUCAAACUGGUUUUGAGUUGGACUAUGUCUUUAUUCUUGGUGAUUCUCUUAUAUAUUUCUUUUUCAAUUUUAUGAAAUUGUAACUCAUGGGGAAAAGAAUUUGGCCUAACUUGUAAAUGGGUUUUCAAUAACCUUACCUGACUUACCUUCCAUUCUGAUCAUAUUUAUCCAAUUUUAAGCCAACAACAACACAAAAAAAAAUCUCAAAUUUUCAGGAAGCUUUUUCCCCCAAAAUAAUUUAAAUAUAAAUAAAGUCUUGCCUUGGUCUGAAAGGAUUCAGUUACAAGUGUAAAUGAAUAUUCUCUAUAUGGACAUAAACUUCACAAAUGUUUAAUCAAAUAUUUAGAUUAAAAUUUGUAUAAAAUGAUGAACUUGUAUAUAAUAAAUAUAUGAAUUUAGAUAUAGAUAUUUAAUUUAAUUUAACGAUUAUUAAAUGCAGUUUAUCCAAAAAAAAAAUAGAAAAUAAAUAUUGCAAUCUAUAACUUUUUUAAGAAAUAAUGAUUAUAGUUGUCAUAAGAAAAAAUUUUGAGAAUGAAUUUUGAUUUUAAAUGGAUUUAAAGUAAAGAUAUAGAAGUUUUAGUUUGAGUUAUAACAAGCAUACUACGGAUUUUAAAAACCUUAUGCUAGCAUAAUUCUUAGUACCAUAAUGAAAUUACAAAAUAAAAUAUUCAUGAUUUAUCUUUAACUUAAGAUUUUCAUCAUACCAUAAAGAAAUUUAAAAGAAAAAAAUAGAAUGAUUUGAAAAGUAUUUGUAAGAACUUAAAAAGCUUGAGAAUAUAUGCAUAUAUGCCUAUCCUAUCCUAUGUACAUCUGAAGAACCUUAUCCAUAUAUAACUGAUUCAGGUUUAAUGCAUUUCAGUCGAGCAACUGUUGCUUGACUUGUCCUAUUAACUGCCUGCAAGUUUCCCCAUUCUUGCAUAAAGCAUCCAUACAAAAGCCACGGUAGACGCAUAAAGUGAAGAUGAGAAUGAUGAAAUGUUGGACGCGGAUGCAACAUCCACUUGCAUCCACAAGUGCAUGAAAUAAUUUUAAGUAAUAAAUAGGGUAGAAUAUUAUUUUCACAGUAUAUAUUAAAAAUUAAGUAUUAAAAUAUUUAUAAAUUUAAUUAUUAAUUAUGAAUGAUGAUUAUAAAUUUAAAAUAAAAUAAGAAAAUAAAAUUAAACAGUAAAAUUUUUAAAACCAUUAAUAUUAAAUAUUAAGUACUUUGAUUUCAUUUAAUUUAAUUAAUUUAUUUAACAAUUUAAUUUUAGUUAAAGUAAUACCAAAUUAAUUAAUUAAAUAUCAUAUAAUUUUAUUUCACUCUUAAAAUAAUAUAAUAGUUGUAUAUGAAAUGUUUUUUUUUUUUUCAAAAUUAGGAAACCCAGGAUACUCAUACCCCUAACUCGUCAGUGAUCGAAACCCAUGAAAUAAAGAAGGUAAAUUCAUGCCUGUUUCACAGUAAUUGAGCUGUGUAUGUUAUAUUAACAUUGAUCAUAAAGUAGAGCCCAUAAUAGAUAAUUAAUUAUCUAAGUAAUUAACAAGUAUAUAUAGAAAAUACAACCCUCUUGCUGCAUUGUUUCUUUUUCUCUAAUAACAGCAUAUAUCGGCAUAGGAUGAUUUUAGCUCCAUGCAAACUUAGCAAGCUAUAUCGACAGCCUAAUACUCACUGCAUUCUAACUGUUAAUAUGCUAUAAGAGGCUUAUUAAUUAACAUGACCACAUACAAAGCAUCCCUCAGCAUCUUGACACUAUCUCCUACCUAUGUUUGAAACCUAGUCACUAUCUGUUAAUUAGGGUUGCCAUGCUCUCUCACUGCCAUGCCUGUAUAGUAGUGUUGAGCUAUCUCGCAGUUGCUGGUGACGACUGACAUUCUUACAGUUGAAAUUUGAGGCCCACGAUAAACUAAUGGCUGUUGAUAUUGGCUCUGAUAAUUGUUUUGAAGCUUGCUGCUUGUUCGACCAUAAGCCUCGUCUAUUAAAGCAAAGCCUUCAUUUCCAAUCCUGGCAAGGCGAUUUCUUUGAAGCCUGUUGAUCUCAGAUCUAUCGCCUCUGCUGCCUCGACCAUAACCCUCAUCUAUUAGAGCAAAGCCUUCAUUUCCGAUCCGGGCGAGACGAUCUAAUUCAGAAGAUGCCAUAAUUAGUUAUUGAUAUGUUGGUUUCUUCUCCUUGCUAACUAGUGUUGUGUGUUUUGUUUGCGUUGCUUGAAAUGGGUUGAUGCAGGAGCUCAUUAUAUAGAGCUCAGUGAACCACUGCCUUUAGCUUCCGAUUUUUUCAUCGUUGCCAAAGUUGAAUCAAUCUAUCAACAUCUUAUCGCUAUCUUUUUGCAUCUUC
Molecule: long non-coding RNA, 43845 nt
Filed under: Manihot esculenta (cassava)
Lineage: Eukaryota; Viridiplantae; Streptophyta; Magnoliopsida; Malpighiales; Euphorbiaceae
Description: long non-coding RNA (MESC_LNC008815)
Source: RNAcentral